Molecule: long non-coding RNA, 438 nt
Organism: Pyrus x bretschneideri (Chinese white pear)
Lineage: Eukaryota; Viridiplantae; Streptophyta; Magnoliopsida; Rosales; Rosaceae
Exons: 2
Source: RefSeq, a predicted model, not a curated record
GCACAGCCUACGACAUCCUACCACAAGAAACAAGACAUUAGAGAUCAAUUUAGCGGGAUAUGCACAAUUGAAGAAGGAAAACAUCAAUUAUCUGGCGGAGGAUAAAGUUAUUUGUUGAUCACUACUUGCCUGCCACCAUUAGCGACGUGUGCUAAACUAUUCAUCAGUAAAAAGGCACAACGAAAGACGAGUUGAAAUCCUCUGGGAUAUGGCAGACACAGCAAUCCACACAAACAGAUACUAGCACACAGAGCUUGAAAGAUCAAGCUUAAGGAAUAGUUUUAACUUUUUUCUCUUCAGAUUUCAAUUUGACCAUAUUACCUCAAUAUUCUUUUACUAGACAUGUAUAAUGAAAAUCUUAACAAAAGAUAAGGAUGGAGAAGUGGAAGGAAUCACAAAUGAUAAUGGGAAGGAAAUAUGUUACAUACUGUUGCUCCG